Molecule: ribosomal RNA, 158 nt
Filed under: Clavaria cupreicolor
Lineage: Eukaryota; Fungi; Basidiomycota; Agaricomycetes; Agaricales; Clavariaceae
Description: 5.8S ribosomal RNA
Rfam family: 5.8S ribosomal RNA
About the family: 5.8S ribosomal RNA (5.8S rRNA) is a component of the large subunit of the eukaryotic ribosome. It is transcribed by RNA polymerase I as part of the 45S precursor that also contains 18S and 28S rRNA. Functionally, it is thought that 5.8S rRNA may be involved in ribosome translocation.
Source: RNAcentral
CAACUUUCAACAAUGGAUCUCUUGGUUCUCGCAUCGAUGAAGAACGCAGCGAAUUGCGAUAUGUAAUGUGAAUUGCAGAAUUCAGUGAAUCAUCGAAUCUUUGAACGCACCUUGCACCCUCUGGUAUUCUGGAGGGUAUGCCUGUUUGAGUGUCAUUA